AGAACGAACGCUGGCGGCAUGCCUAACACAUGCAAGUCGAACGCUCAUCUUCGGAUGGGAGUGGCGCACGGGUGAGUAACGCGUGGGAACCUGCCCCGAGGUUCGGGAUAACCGAUGGAAACGUCGGCUAAUACCGGAUACGUCCUAAGGGAGAAAGAUUUAUCGCCCUGGGAGGGGCCCGCGUCGGAUUAGCUAGUUGGUGGGGUAACGGCCUACCAAGGCGAUGAUCCGUAGCUGGUCUGAGAGGAUGAUCAGCCACACUGGGACUGAGACACGGCCCAGACUCCUACGGGAGGCAGCAGUGGGGAAUAUUGGACAAUGGGCGCAAGCCUGAUCCAGCAAUGCCGCGUGAGUGAUGAAGGCCUUAGGGUUGUAAAGCUCUUUCGGCGGGACGAUGAUGACGUACCGCAGAGAAGCCCGGCUAACUCGCGCCAGCAGCCGC
This 442-nucleotide ribosomal RNA is filed under the name uncultured bacterium. RNAcentral's name for it is "SSU rRNA". It matches the Rfam family "Bacterial small subunit ribosomal RNA", at positions 26 to 518 of the family's 1533-position model. The record is from RNAcentral.